This 450-nucleotide ribosomal RNA is filed under the name uncultured bacterium. RNAcentral's name for it is "partial 16S ribosomal RNA". It matches the Rfam family "Bacterial small subunit ribosomal RNA", at positions 354 to 796 of the family's 1533-position model. The record is from RNAcentral.
GUGGGGAAUUUUGGACAAUGGGCGCAAGCCUGAUCCAGCCAUGCCGCGUGCAGGAUGAAGGCCUUCGGGUUGUAAACUGCUUUUGUACGGAACGAAAAGACUCUGGUUAAUACCUGGGGUCCAUGACGGUACCGUAAGAAUAAGCACCGGCUAACUACGUGCCAGCAGCCGCGGUAAUACGUAGGGUGCGAGCGUUAAUCGGAAUUACUGGGCGUAAAGCGUGCGCAGGCGGUUAUAUAAGACAGAUGUGAAAUCCCCGGGCUCAACCUGGGAACUGCAUUUGUGACUGUAGAGCUAGAGUACGGCAGAGGGGGAUGGAAUUCCGCGUGUAGCAGUGAAAUGCGUAGAUAUGCGGAGGAACACCGAUGGCGAAGGCAAUCCCCUGGGCCUGUACUGACGCUCAUGCACGAAAGCGUGGGGAGCAAACAGGAUUAGAAACCCCGGUAGUCC